ACGAACGCUGGCGGCGUGCUUAACACAUGCCAGUCGAACGGAAAGACCCUGCUUUUGUGGGGUGCUCGAGUGGCGAACGGGUGAGUAACACGUGAGUAACCUGCCCUUGACUUUGGGAUAACUUCAGGAAACUGGGGCUAAUACCGGAUAGGAGCUCCUGCUGCAUGGUGGGGGUUGGAAAGUUUCGGCGGUUGGGGAUGGACUCGCGGCUUAUCAGCUUGUUGGUGGGGUAGUGGCUUACCAAGGCUUUGACGGGUAGCCGGCCUGAGAGGGUGACCGGCCACAUUGGGACUGAGAUACGGCCCAGACUCCUACGGGAGGCAGCAGUGGGGAAUAUUGCACAAUGGGCGGAAGCCUGAUGCAGCAACGCCGCGUGCGGGAUGACGGCCUUCGGGUUGUAAACCGCUUUCGCCUGUGACGAAGCGUGAGUGACGGUAAGGGGUAAAGAAGCACCGGCUAACUACGUGC
This 468-nucleotide ribosomal RNA is filed under the name uncultured bacterium. RNAcentral describes it as "partial 16S ribosomal RNA". It matches the Rfam family "Bacterial small subunit ribosomal RNA", at positions 29 to 508 of the family's 1533-position model. The record is from RNAcentral.